This 502-nucleotide ribosomal RNA is filed under the name uncultured bacterium. Its description in RNAcentral is "bacterial SSU rRNA". It matches the Rfam family "Bacterial small subunit ribosomal RNA", at positions 8 to 507 of the family's 1533-position model. The record is from RNAcentral.
AGAGUUUGAUCAUGGCUCAGAUUGAACGCUGGCGGCAUGCCUUACACAUGCAAGUCGAACGGUAACGGGCCUUCGGGUGCCGACGAGUGGCGAACGGGUGAGUAAUGUAUCGGAACGUACCUUUCAGUGGGGGAUAACGUAGCGAAAGUUACGCUAAUACCGCAUAUUCUGUGAGCAGGAAAGCAGGGGAUCGCAAGACCUUGCGCUGAUUGAGCGGCCGAUAUCAGAUUAGCUAGUUGGUGAGGUAAAGGCUCACCAAGGCGACGAUCUGUAGCGGGUCUGAGAGGAUGAUCCGCCACACUGGAACUGAGACACGGUCCAGACUCCUACGGGAGGCAGCAGUGGGGAAUUUUGGACAAUGGGGGCAACCCUGAUCCAGCCAUGCCGCGUGAGUGAAGAAGGCCUUCGGGUUGUAAAGCUCUUUCGGCCGGGAAGAAAUCGUAUGGGUUAAUACCCUGUGCGGAUGACGGUACCGGCAUAAGAAGCACCGGCUAACUACGUG